GUGAUUCUAGUAUAAACAAAUACCAGAUUCUUUCAUAUUCUAAUUCCUGUCCUAGGGAAUCAUA
This 64-nucleotide transfer RNA is filed under the name Lepidonotopodium sp. YZ-2018. RNAcentral's name for it is "tRNA-Glu". The record is from RNAcentral. Lineage: Eukaryota; Metazoa; Annelida; Polychaeta; Phyllodocida; Polynoidae.